RNAcentral lists this ribosomal RNA (468 nucleotides) under uncultured bacterium. Its description in RNAcentral is "partial 16S ribosomal RNA". It matches the Rfam family "Bacterial small subunit ribosomal RNA", at positions 28 to 507 of the family's 1533-position model. The record is from RNAcentral.
GACGAACGCUGGCGGCGUGCUUAACACAUGCAAGUCGAACGGAAAGGCCCUGCUUUUGUGGGGUGCUCGAGUGGCGAACGGGUGAGUAACACGUGAGUAACCUGCCCUUGACUUUGGGAUAACUUCAGGAAACUGGGGCUAAUACCGGAUAGGAGCUCCUGCUGCAUGGUGGGGGUUGGAAAGUUUCGGCGGUUGGGGAUGGACUCGCGGCUUAUCAGCUUGUUGGUGGGGUAGUGGCAUACCAAGGCUUUGACGGGUAGCCGGCCUGAGAGGGUGACCGGCCACAUUGGGACUGAGAUACGGCCCAGAAUCCUACGGGAGGCAGCAGUGGGGAAUAUUGCACAAUGGGCGGAAGCCUGAUGCAGCAACGCCGCGUGCGGGAUGACGGCCUUCGGGUUGUAAACCGCUUUCGCAGGUGACGAAGCGUGAGUGACGGUAAUGGGUAAAGAAGCACCGGCUAACUACGUG